RNAcentral lists this ribosomal RNA (508 nucleotides) under uncultured fungus. RNAcentral describes it as "SSU rRNA". It matches the Rfam family "Eukaryotic small subunit ribosomal RNA", at positions 569 to 1078 of the family's 1831-position model. The record is from RNAcentral. Lineage: Eukaryota; Fungi.
AGCAGCCGCGGUAAUUCCAGCUCCAAUAGCGUAUAUUAAAGUUGUUGCAGUUAAAAAGCUCGUAGUUGAAUUUCGGGGUCAGCAGGUUGGUCGUGCCUCUGGUACGCACUGGUUUCGCUGAUUCCUCCUUUCUGAAGAACUGUAAUGUCAUUAAUUUGGUGUUGCAGGGAAACAGGACUGUUACUUUGAAAAAAUUAGAGUGUCUAAAGCAAGCUAACGCUUGAAUACAUUAGCAUGGAAUAAUGAAAUAGGACGUUUGAUCCUAUUUUGUUGGUUUCUAGGAUUGACGUAAUGAUUAAUAGGGAUAGUUGGGGGCAUUAGUAUUCAAUUGUCAGAGGUGAAAUUCUUGGAUUUAUUGAAGACUAACUACUGCGAAAGCAUUUGCCAAGGAUGUUUUCAUUAAUCAAGAACGAAAGUUAGGGGAUCGAAGACGAUCAGAUACCGUCGUAGUCUUAACCAUAAACUAUGCCGACUAGGGAUCGGAUGAUGUUAAUUUUUUAAUGACUCA